This 117-nucleotide ribosomal RNA is filed under the name Patescibacteria group bacterium. The record is from RNAcentral.
CCCCGUGAUGAUACCGGAGGGGUUAUACCUCUUCCCAUCCCGAACAGAGCAGUCAAGCCCUCCAGGGCCGAUGAUAGUUGGACCGCAAGGUCCUGCAAAAGUAGGUCGUCGCGGGUA